CAGCAGCCGCGGGAAUACGAAGGGUGCAAACGUUGCUCGGAAUUACUGGGCGUAAAGCGUACGUAGGCGGUUUUGUAAGUUAGAGGUGAAAGCCCGGAGCUCAACUCCGGAAUUGCCUUUAAGACUGCAUCACUUGAACGUCGGAGAGGUGAGUGGAAUUCCGAGUGUAGAGGUGAAAUUCGUAGAUAUUCGGAAGAACACCAGUGGCGAAGGCGGCUCACUGGACGACUGUUGACGCUGAGGUACGAAAGCGUGGGGAGCAAACAGGAUUAGAUACCCGCGUAGUCCCUGUCUCUUAUAC
RNAcentral lists this ribosomal RNA (301 nucleotides) under uncultured bacterium. Its description in RNAcentral is "partial 16S ribosomal RNA". It matches the Rfam family "Bacterial small subunit ribosomal RNA", at positions 509 to 807 of the family's 1533-position model. The record is from RNAcentral.